Molecule: ribosomal RNA, 254 nt
Filed under: uncultured bacterium
Lineage: Bacteria
Description: partial 16S ribosomal RNA
Rfam family: Bacterial small subunit ribosomal RNA
Source: RNAcentral
UACGGGGGGAGCAAGCGUUGUUCGGAUUUACUGGGCGUAAAGGGCGCGUAGGCGGUCAGCACAAGUCAGUUGUGAAAUCUCCGGGCUUAACUCGGAAAGGUCAACUGAUACUGUGCGACUAGAGUGCGGAAGGGGCAACUGGAAUUCUCGGCGUAGCGGUGAAAUGCGUAGAUAUCGAGAGGAACACCUGCGGCGAAGGCGGGUUGCUGGGUCGACACUGACGCUGAUGCGCGAAAGCCAGGGGAGCGAACGGG